GAUGAACGCUGGCGGCGUGCCUAAUACAUGCAAGUCGAGCGAACAGACGAGGAGCUUGCUCCUCUGACGUUAGCGGCGGACGGGUGAGUAACACGUGGAUAACCUACCUAUAAGACUGGGAUAACUUCGGGAAACCGGAGCUAAUACCGGAAAAUAUAUUGAACCGCAUGGUUCAAUAGUGAAAGACGGUUUUGCUGUCACUUAUAGAUGGAUCCGCGCCGCAUUAGCUAUUUGGUAAGGUAACGGCUUACCAAGGCAAAGAUGAGUAGCCGACCUGAGAGGGUGUUCGGCCACCCUGGAACUGAGCCACGGUCCAGACUCCUACGGGAGGCAGCAGUAGGGAAUCUUCCGCAAUGGGCGAAAGCCUGACGGAGCAACGCCGCGUGAGUGAUGAAGUUCUUCGGAUCGUAAAACUCUGUUAUUAGGGAAGAACAAAUGUGUAAGUAACUAUGCACGUCUUGACGGUACCUAAUCAGAAAGCCACGGCUAACUACGUG
Molecule: ribosomal RNA, 497 nt
Filed under: uncultured bacterium
Lineage: Bacteria
Description: partial 16S ribosomal RNA
Rfam family: Bacterial small subunit ribosomal RNA
Source: RNAcentral